RNAcentral lists this ribosomal RNA (545 nucleotides) under uncultured bacterium. RNAcentral's name for it is "bacterial SSU rRNA". It matches the Rfam family "Bacterial small subunit ribosomal RNA", at positions 793 to 1345 of the family's 1533-position model. The record is from RNAcentral.
AUCCGCACGGUAAACGAUGGAUGCCCGCUGUUAGCGAUACACUGUCAGCGACCAAGCGAAAGCAUUAAGCAUCCCACCUGGGGAGUACGCCGGCAACGGUGAAACUCAAAGGAAUUGACGGGGGCCCGCACAAGCGGAGGAACAUGUGGUUUAAUUCGAUGAUACGCGAGGAACCUUACCCGGGCUUGAACUGCAGGAGAACGAUUCAGAGAUGACGAGGUCCUUCGGGACUCCUGUGGAGGUGCUGCAUGGUUGUCGUCAGCUCGUGCCGUGAGGUGUCGGCUUAAGUGCCAUAACGAGCGCAACCCCUUUCUUCAGUUACCAUCAGGUUAUGCUGGGCACUCUGGAGACACUGCCACCGUAAGGUGUGAGGAAGGUGGGGAUGACGUCAAAUCAGCACGGCCCUUACGUCCGGGGCUACACACGUGUUACAAUGGGUGGUACAGAGAGCGGGCUGCCUGCAAAGUCAGCCGAAUCAUGAAAGCCAUCCUCAGUUCGGAUUGGGGUCUGCAACCCGACCCCAAGAAGCGGAUCGCAGUAAUCGC